RNAcentral lists this ribosomal RNA (392 nucleotides) under uncultured bacterium. RNAcentral's name for it is "partial 16S ribosomal RNA". It matches the Rfam family "Bacterial small subunit ribosomal RNA", at positions 523 to 918 of the family's 1533-position model. The record is from RNAcentral.
ACACGUAGGGGGCGAGCGUUGUUCGGAAUCAUUGGGCGUAAAGGGCGCGCAGGCGGCGAGGCAAGUCCGGUGUGAAAGUGCUCGGCUCAACCGAGUGAUGCGCUGGAAACUGACCUGCUUGAGUACAGGAGGGGUCGUCGGAAUUCCAGGAGUAGGGGUGAAAUCUGUAGAUAUCUGGAAGAACACAGGUGGCGAAGGCGGACGUCUGGCCAUGUACUGACGCUGAGGCGCGAAGGUGCGGGGAGCGAACAGGUUUAGAUACCCUGGUAGUCCGCACAGUAAACGAUGUGCACCAGGUGGCGGGGGGUAGCCCUCGGUACCGAAGCCAACGCAUUAAGUGCACCGCCUGGGGAGUAUGCUCGCAAGGGUGAAACUCAAAGGAAUUGACGGGG